RNAcentral lists this ribosomal RNA (253 nucleotides) under uncultured bacterium. Its description in RNAcentral is "partial 16S ribosomal RNA". It matches the Rfam family "Bacterial small subunit ribosomal RNA", at positions 524 to 776 of the family's 1533-position model. The record is from RNAcentral.
UACGGAGGGGGCAAGCGUUGUCCGGAAUCAUUGGGCGUAAAGAGCGCGUAGGCGGCCCGUUAAGUCUGCUGUGAAAGUCCAGGGCUCAACCCUGGAAUGCCGGUGGAUACUGUCGGGCUAGAGUACGGAAGAGGCGAGUGGAAUUCCUGGUGUAGCGGUGGAAUGCGCAGAUAUCAGGAGGAACACCAAUAGCGAAGGCAGCUCGCUGGGACGUUACUGACGCUGAGGCGCGAAAGCGUGGGGAGCAAACAGG